This 386-nucleotide ribosomal RNA is filed under the name uncultured bacterium. Its description in RNAcentral is "bacterial SSU rRNA". It matches the Rfam family "Bacterial small subunit ribosomal RNA", at positions 28 to 416 of the family's 1533-position model. The record is from RNAcentral.
GACGAACGCUGGCGGCGUGCUUAACACAUGCAAGUCGAGCGGUAAGGCCCUUUCGGGGGUACACGAGCGGCGAACGGGUGAGUAACACGUGGGUGACCUGCCUUUAGCUCUGGGAUAAGCCUGGGAAACCGGGUCUAAUACCGGAUAUGACUCCGCGGCGCAUGUUGUGGGGUGGAAAGCCUUGUGCGGCUGGAGAUGGGCCCGCGGCCUAUCAGCUUGUUGGUGGGGUGAUGGCCUACCAAGGCGACGACGGGUAGCCGGCCUGAGAGGGCGACCGGCCACACUGGGACCGAGACACGGCCCAGACUCCUACGGGAGGCAGCAGUGGGGAAUCUUGCGCAAUGGGCGAAAGCCUGACGCAGCGACGCCGCGUGAGGAUGACGGCC